CGAGCACGCGCGUGUGGCAUAUCAAUAAGCGGAGGAAAAGAAACUAACAAGGAUUCCCUUAGUAACGGCGAGUGAAGCGGGAAGAGCUCAAAUUUGAAAUCUUCAAGGGUUCUACCUUGACGAAUUGUAGUUUAAUAGAAGUGUUUUCUGUUAGAUGGAGGUGGCUAAAAGUUCUUUGGAAUAGGACAUCAUAGAGGGUGAGAAUCCCGUAUUUGGUCAUUCCUCCUAGCGUUGUGAUACACUUUCAACGAGUCGGAUUGUUUGGGAAUGCAGUCCAAAAUGGGUGGUAAAUUUCAUCUAAAGCUAAAUAUUGGCGAGAGACCGAUAGCGAACAAGUACCGUGAGGGAAAGAUGAAAAGAACUUUGAAAAGAGAGUUAAACAGUACGUGAAAUUGUCAAAAGGGAAGCGUUUGACACCAGUGUUGUUUUUCCGAAAAUCAAUUACGAAUGUUUUAUUUUUGAGGAGUUAUGACUUCAUCGGCUUGCUCCUUUCUUUAUGAAACUUUCUUAAUGCACUUUUCGGUUAACAAGUUAACAUCAAUUUCUUUUGUUGUAAAAGGGUAUGAGGAAGGUGGCUUUCCUUUUCGGAGAAAGUGUUUAUAGCCUUGUGCCUCUGCAAUCGGAGAGAUUGAGGUCUGCAGCGUAGAUCCUUCGGGGUUAGAUACGUUUGUGCUAAGUUAUAGCUUUUCAUAGACAACUUGUUGACUAUGUUUAGUCUUGUAGCUUACUCGCUGACGCUAUUUUACCUACGCUUAGGAUGUUGAGUCAUCACACAUCUCU
RNAcentral lists this ribosomal RNA (780 nucleotides) under uncultured Neocallimastigales. RNAcentral describes it as "partial large subunit ribosomal RNA". It matches the Rfam family "Eukaryotic large subunit ribosomal RNA", at positions 19 to 614 of the family's 3401-position model. Lineage: Eukaryota; Fungi; Neocallimastigomycota; Neocallimastigomycetes; Neocallimastigales. The record is from RNAcentral.